GAUGCCCCUCGUGCGGCGUACAACCUGUGAACUUCCCCAGGGCCGGAAGGCAGCAAGGAUAAGCGGGCUCUGACGGGUGCGCGGGGGGCCUUUCG
This 95-nucleotide signal recognition particle RNA is filed under the name Micromonosporaceae bacterium. RNAcentral describes it as "signal recognition particle sRNA small type". It matches the Rfam family "Bacterial small signal recognition particle RNA". From Rfam's summary of the family: The signal recognition particle (SRP) is a universally conserved ribonucleoprotein involved in the co-translational targeting of proteins to membranes. Archaeal SRP consists of a 7S RNA and homologues of the eukaryotic SRP19 and SRP54 proteins. In most bacteria, the SRP consists of a 4.5S RNA and the Ffh protein (a homologue of the eukaryotic SRP54 protein). Lineage: Bacteria; Bacillati; Actinomycetota; Actinomycetes; Micromonosporales; Micromonosporaceae. The record is from RNAcentral.